AGUGAACGCUGGCGGUAGGCCUAACACAUGCAAGUCGAACGGCAGCACAGUAAGAGCUUGCUCUUACGGGUGGCGAGUGGCGGACGGGUGAGGAAUACAUCGGAAUCUACUUUUUCGUGGGGGAUAACGUAGGGAAACUUACGCUAAUACCGCAUACGACCUACGGGUGAAAGCAGGGGAUCUUCGGACCUUGCGCGAUUGAAUGAGCCGAUGUUGGAUUAGCUAGUUGGCGGGGUAAAGGCCCACCAAGGCGACGAUCCGUAGCUGGUCUGAGAGGAUGAUCGGCGACACUGGAACUGAGACACGGACCAGGCUCCUGCGGGAGGGAGCAGUGGGGAAUGGUGGACAGUGGGCGCAAGCCUGAUCCAGCCAUACCGCGUGGGUGGAGGAGGCCUUCGGUUUGUGAAGCCCUUUUGUUGGGAAAGAAAAGCAGCAGGUUGAUACCCCGCUGUUCUGACGGUACCCAAAGAAUAAGCACCGGCUAACUUCGUG
This 492-nucleotide ribosomal RNA is filed under the name uncultured bacterium. RNAcentral describes it as "partial 16S ribosomal RNA". It matches the Rfam family "Bacterial small subunit ribosomal RNA", at positions 29 to 507 of the family's 1533-position model. The record is from RNAcentral.